This 386-nucleotide long non-coding RNA is filed under the name Homo sapiens (human). RNAcentral's name for it is "HSALNT0253648". The record is from RNAcentral. Lineage: Eukaryota; Metazoa; Chordata; Mammalia; Primates; Hominidae.
ACAGAAGCAGGGCUGAGGGGAUUCAAGUGCUCAAACAGCCCAGGCGUAUGGGUCACCUGGCACCUCUGGAGGAGGGACAUGGCCCACAGAUGUCACCGUUUUUAAGAGGGCCUGCCCUGAUCUCGCCUAUGUCAAGGGUGACUAGAAGAAGGACGAAUCGGUCCUCUGUGUAGCUGUUUGCAAACGUGAAGAGGGGACAAGGAAAACUACUGGAUGAACACGGUUGUCUUGGGAAGAGACCUGCAGGAAGCUGCCCCAGCAGAGGAGGCCACGGGUUUCAGUAACGCCAGAGGCUGAGAGAGGAAUUGGUCGACGGAGGCAGAAAUCGUCACAUACGAGGAAAGCUUGACUGCAAAACAUCAAUUCAUCCAGCAACCACUCACCAU